Molecule: ribosomal RNA, 1259 nt
Filed under: metagenome
Description: bacterial LSU rRNA
Rfam family: Bacterial large subunit ribosomal RNA
Source: RNAcentral
UAUACGACCGUACCGCAAACCGACACUGGUGCGCGAGAUGAGUAUUCUAAGGCGCUUGAGAGAACUCAGGAGAAGGAACUCGGCAAAUUGACACCGUAACUUCGGAAGAAGGUGUGCCCUAUUAGUGUGUAGUGAACAACGAAGCAUGAAUGGGUUGCAAAAAAUCGGUGGCUGCGACUGUUUAUUAAAAACACAGCACUCUGCAAACACGAAAGUGGACGUAUAGGGUGUGACGCCUGCCCGGUGCUGGAAGAUUAAAUGAUGGGGUGCAAGCUCUUGAUUGAAGUCCCAGUAAACGGCGGCCGUAACAAUAACGGUCCUAAGGUAGCGAAAUUCCUUGUCGGGUAAGUUCCGACCUGCACGAAUGGCGUAACGAUGGCCACACUGUCUCCUCCUGAGACUCAGCGAAGUUGAAGUGUUUGUGAUGAUGCAAUCUCCCCGCGGAAAGACGGAAAGACCCCAUGAACCUUUACUGUAGCUUUGUAUUGGACUUUGAACAGAUCUGUGUAGGAUAGGUGGGAGGCUUUGAAGCAGGGUCGCUAGAUCUUGUGGAGCCAACGUUGAAAUACCACCCUGGUGUGUUUGAGGUUCUAACCUAGGUCCAUUAUCUGGAUCGGGGACAGUGCAUGGUAGGCAGUUUGACUGGGGCGGUCUCCUCCCAAAGCGUAACGGAGGAGUUCGAAGGUACGCUAGCUACGGUCGGACAUCGUGACGAUAGUGCAAUGGCAUAAGCGUGCUUAACUGCGAGACUGACAAGUCGAGCAGAUGCGAAAGCAGGACAUAGUGAUCCGGUGGUUCUGUAUGGAAGGGCCAUCGCUCAACGGAUAAAAGGUACUCUGGGGAUAACAGGCUGAUACCGCCCAAGAGUUCAUAUCGACGGCGGUGUUUGGCACCUCGAUGUCGGCUCAUCUCAUCCUGGGGCUGUAGCCGGUCCCAAGGGUAUGGCUGUUCGCCAUUUAAAGAGGUACGUGAGCUGGGUUUAAAACGUCGUGAGACAGUUUGGUCCCUAUCUUCCGUGGGCGCUGCAGAUUUGAGGAAGCCUGCUCCUAGUACGAGAGGACCGGAGUGGACACACCUCUGGUGUAUCGGUUGUCACGCCAGUGGCAUUGCCGAGUAGCUAAGUGUGGAAGAGAUAACCGCUGAAAGCAUCUAAGCGGGAAACUCGUUUCAAGAUGAGAUCUGCCGGGGCCUUGAGCCCCCUAAAGAGUCGUUCAAGACCAGGACGUUGAUAGGUCAGGUGUGGAAGCUAAAAAAAAUAG